UACGUAGGUGGCAAGCGUUGUCCGGAUUCACUGGGUGUAAAGGGUGCGCAGGCGGAUUUGUAAGUCAGAGGUGAAAUCUCACGGCUUAACCGUGAAACUGCCUUUGAUACUGCAGAUCUUGAGUUCGGGAGAGGUUGAUGGAAUUCCAGGUGUAGCGGUGAAAUGCGUAGAUAUCUGGAAGAACACCAGUGGCGAAGGCGGUCAACUGGCCCGUAACUGACGCUCAGGCACGAAAGCGUGGGUAGCAAACAGG
RNAcentral lists this ribosomal RNA (253 nucleotides) under uncultured bacterium. RNAcentral's name for it is "partial 16S ribosomal RNA". It matches the Rfam family "Bacterial small subunit ribosomal RNA", at positions 524 to 776 of the family's 1533-position model. The record is from RNAcentral.